UACGGGGGGGGCAAGCGUUGUUCGGAAUUACUGGGCGUAAAGGGCUCGUAGGCGGCCAACUAAGUCCGACGUGAAAUCCCCAGGCUUAACCUGGGAACUGCGUCGGAUACUGGAUGGCUUGAAUCCGGGAGAGGGAUGCGGAAUUCCAGGUGUAGCGGUGAAAUGCGCAGAUAUCAGGAGGAACACCGGUGGCGAAGGCGGAUCUCUGGGCCGAUACUGACGCUGAGGAGCGAAAGCGUGGGGAGCGAACAGG
RNAcentral lists this ribosomal RNA (253 nucleotides) under uncultured bacterium. Its description in RNAcentral is "partial 16S ribosomal RNA". It matches the Rfam family "Bacterial small subunit ribosomal RNA", at positions 524 to 776 of the family's 1533-position model. The record is from RNAcentral.